Phyllostomus discolor (pale spear-nosed bat) is the source of this 492-nucleotide long non-coding RNA. RefSeq lists it as uncharacterized. Lineage: Eukaryota; Metazoa; Chordata; Mammalia; Chiroptera; Phyllostomidae. The transcript is spliced from 3 exons. The record is from RefSeq and is a predicted model, not a curated record.
AAAAGGUAAAUGACCACAGCCAGCUGGACCGGGGUUUCCCGGACUGCAAGAGCUGUGUGUCUCACACGUCUGCACCACCCGCUGUGCCCAACCACGCCCAGGACAGGACGCACGGCCAACACAGGUCUGCAGAAUAAAAACAAUGCCCACACACGUGGCACAAGAACCUUCGGACAGCCUCUUUCUGCCUUUCACAGUACAGACCAUGCUGCACACAUCCAGAGACACACUCACACACCUUGUUCUUUUACUGGCACACGCCCCGUAAGAACAAGGUGUACAGCCUCAUUCCCCACAACUCUUAAACUUCUUGGCACAUGCACCAUGUAUACAGUUAAACACUAUCCAGCGAACUGCAUCAGGGAUUCAUGAAUGUCCACACAACAAUGUACAGAACAGAAUCACAGACUGCUCAAAAAGGUCUUUCUAUUCGGUUUGGAAACCCACCCCCACCCCACUCCUCCUGGCCUCGCGGGGUGCAGGAGACGGGAC